CAGUAGCCGCGGGAAUACGAAGGGGGCUAGCGUUGUUCGGAUUUACUGGGCGUAAAGGGCGCGUAGGCGGACUGAUAAGUCAGGGGUGAAAUCCCAAGGCUCAACCUUGGAACUGCCUUUGAUACUGUUUGUCUUGAGUUCGAGAGAGGUAAGUGGAACUGCGAGUGUAGAGGUGAAAUUCGUAGAUAUUCGCAAGAACACCAGUGGCGAAGGCGGCUUACUGGCUCGAAACUGACGCUGAGGCGCGAAAGCGUGGGGAGCAAACAGGGUUAGAUACCCGCGUAGUCCCUGUCUCUUAUAC
This 301-nucleotide ribosomal RNA is filed under the name uncultured bacterium. RNAcentral's name for it is "partial 16S ribosomal RNA". It matches the Rfam family "Bacterial small subunit ribosomal RNA", at positions 509 to 807 of the family's 1533-position model. The record is from RNAcentral.